RNAcentral lists this long non-coding RNA (433 nucleotides) under Camelus dromedarius (Arabian camel). RNAcentral describes it as "lncRNA (ENSCDRG00005020684.1)". Lineage: Eukaryota; Metazoa; Chordata; Mammalia; Artiodactyla; Camelidae. The record is from RNAcentral.
CGCAGCUGCCUGGGGCUGCAUCUCCUCUGGACCUGCCGGGGCUUUGGGACAACAGGGGGUUUUGUCCCCGCUGACAGGAGCCCCGUCUCCUCAGGAUCCAACAGGAGGUGCUGCACUGAGGGAAGAUCGUGCACAGGAUCCAAGACUCGGUGGCUCCUGGUGUACUCAUUCCACAGUGCCUCUUAAUAGCAAGUGGACUCCUCCAAGGGCGAUGAGCAUCACAACUUUGGUUGACCUUGGUCUAGGUAAGCCUUGUCUUCCAUAGCAAGGUUUGAUGUCUGUCUUAUCAGCUUCUUUGCUGUGGUAUUGAUAUGGUUGUUUUGAAAAUAAUGGACUUUCCAGUAAUUUCUAUGAUGGUAAAUACUACUCACAGUUGCCACUUUAUACAAAAUACUGUAGGGUGUUUUACCCCAAACAGGGGUAGUCUCCUGAG